AUGUUCAGACGUAGGCUUACCCCUGAGUUGUCCAAACAAUGGGAAGAUAUGCGUGCUGUAGUCAAUAAAAUCCCCCUUACUAAGAGGGAUGAUCGUAUUUUCUGGGGACUCAACCAGAAUGGCAAGUUCACCACUAAGUCAGUAUAUAAAAUGCUGGAGAAACCCUUGAGUGGGUGCCAUUAUAGAUGGAUUUGGAAAGCCAAGAUCCCUCUUAAAAUCAAGAUAUUUCUGUGGCAAAUGUCGCAAGACGCAGUCCUUACUAGACAAGUGAUGAGCAAAAGAAAAUGGACAGGGAAUCCCUGUUGCUCUUUCUGCAAACAGGUGGAAACGGUGCAACACUUGUUCUUUACUUGUCCCAUUGCCCCAAUUGUUUGGCGAUCCAUCGGAGUAGCUCUUGGCACUGAUAGUUGCCCGUCGGACUACUGGCAAUAUUUCGUGUGGUGCCACAGAUUCCUUCCUGGGAAGCAAAAGUUUAUACGGUGGGCUUAG
RNAcentral lists this ribosomal RNA (489 nucleotides) under Triticum aestivum (bread wheat). Its description in RNAcentral is "partial small subunit ribosomal RNA". The record is from RNAcentral. Lineage: Eukaryota; Viridiplantae; Streptophyta; Magnoliopsida; Poales; Poaceae.